This 301-nucleotide ribosomal RNA is filed under the name uncultured Pseudomonas sp. RNAcentral's name for it is "bacterial SSU rRNA". It matches the Rfam family "Bacterial small subunit ribosomal RNA", at positions 29 to 332 of the family's 1533-position model. Lineage: Bacteria; Pseudomonadati; Pseudomonadota; Gammaproteobacteria; Pseudomonadales; Pseudomonadaceae. The record is from RNAcentral.
ACGAACGCUGGCGGCAGGCCUAACACAUGCAAGUCGAGCGGAUGAGAGGAGCUUGCUCCUCGAUUCAGCGGCGGACGGGUGAGUAAUGCCUAGGAAUCUGCCUAGUAGUGGGGGACAACGUUUCGAAAGGAACGCUAAUACCGCAUACGUCCUACGGGAGAAAGUGGGGGAUCUUCGGACCUCACGCUAUUAGAUGAGCCUAGGUCGGAUUAGCUAGUUGGUAGGGUAAAGGCCUACCAAGGCGACGAUCCGUAACUGGUCUGAGAGGAUGAUCAGUCACACUGGAACUGAGACACGGUCC